GGGUUGUGAGGUUAAGCGACUAAGCGUACACGGUGGAUGCCCUGGCAGUCAGAGGCGAUGAAGGGCGUGCUAAUCUGCGAUAAGCGCCGGUAAGGUGAUAUGAACCGUUAUAACCGGCGAUACCCGAAUGGGGAAACCCAGUGUGAUUCGUCACACUAUCAUUAACUGAAUCCAUAGGUUAAUGAGGCGAACCGGGGGAACUGAAACAUCUAAGUACCCCGAGGAAAAGAAAUCAACCGAGAUUCCCCCAGUAGCGGCGAGCGAACGGGGAGGAGCCCAGAGCCUGAAUCAGCAUGUGUGUUAGUGGAAGCGUCUGGAAAGGCGCGCGAUACAGGGUGACAGCCCCGUACACAAAAGCGCAUAUGCUGUGAGCUCGAUGAGUAGGGCGGGACACGUGGUAUCCUGUCUGAAUAUGGGGGGACCAUCCUCCAAGGCUAAAUACUCCUGACUGACCGAUAGUGAACCAGUACCGUGAGGGAAAGGCGAAAAGAACCCCGGCGAGGGGAGUGAAAAAGAACCUGAAACCGUGUACGUACAAGCAGUGGGAGCCCCACCACUAAGCCAGUGGUGAACUCCACAUACGCAUCCUUUGCUGAGGAGACGGUUAACGGAGCGAAAGCGACGUUCAACCUCAAAAGAAGCAGAGGGGGCUUAGUGGUGGGGUGACUGCGUACCUUUUGUAUAAUGGGUCAGCGACUUAUAUUCUGUAGCAAGGUUAACUGUAUAGGGGAGCCGGAGGGAAACCGAGUCUUAACCGGGCGUUAAGUUGCAGGGUAUAGACCCGAAACCCGGUGAUCUAGCCAUGGGCAGGUUGAAGGUUGGGUAACACUAACUGGAGGACCGAACCGACUAAUGUUGAAAAAUUAGCGGAUGACCUGUGGCUGGGGGUGAAAGGCCAAUCAAACCGGGAGAUAGCUGGUUCUCCCCGAAAGCUAUUUAGGUAGCGCCUCGUGAAUUCAUCUCCGGGGGUAGAGCACUGUUUCGGCUAGGGGGCCAUCCCGGCUUACCAACCCGAUGCAAACUGCGAAUACCGGAGAAUGUUAUCACGGGAGACACACGGCGGGUGCUAAUGUCCGUCGUGAAGAGGGAAACAACCCAGACCGCCAGCUAAGGUCCCAAAGUCAUGGUUAAGUGGGAAACGAUGUGGGAAGGCCCAGACAGCCAGGAUGUUGGCUUAGAAGCAGCCAUCAUUUAAAG
This 1197-nucleotide ribosomal RNA is filed under the name Salmonella enterica. Its description in RNAcentral is "partial 23S ribosomal RNA". It matches the Rfam family "Bacterial large subunit ribosomal RNA", at positions 1 to 1128 of the family's 2925-position model. The record is from RNAcentral. Lineage: Bacteria; Pseudomonadati; Pseudomonadota; Gammaproteobacteria; Enterobacterales; Enterobacteriaceae. RNAcentral also lists the same sequence under 2 other names.